GACGAACGCUGGCAGCAUGCUUAACACAUGCAAGUCGAAGGGGAAGGCGCGGCUGCUGCGGGGUGACCGAGUCGCACACGUGAGUAUCACGUGAGAAUAACCUCCCCUGGACUUGGGUAUAACCACGAAAAACCGGACCUAAUACCGGAUGGUCACUAAUCUGCAUAGGUUAGUGUUGGAAGGAGGCGCCUGCGGAGAGUCUUGCGUCCUAUUAGCAAGUUGGAGGGGUAACGGUGCACUAAGGCGAAGAUAGUGAGCCGGCGUGAGAGGGUGGACGGCCACAAGGGGACUGAGAUACGGCCCUUACUCCUACGGGAGGCAGCAGUGGGGAAUAUUGGACAAUGGGGGCAACCCUGAUCCAGCAAUUCUGUGUGCACGAAGACGGUUUUCGGAUUGUAAAGUGCUUUCAGCAGGGAAGAAGGAAGUGACGGUACCUGCAGAAGAAGCGACGGCUAAAUACGUG
RNAcentral lists this ribosomal RNA (463 nucleotides) under uncultured bacterium. RNAcentral describes it as "partial 16S ribosomal RNA". It matches the Rfam family "Bacterial small subunit ribosomal RNA", at positions 28 to 507 of the family's 1533-position model. The record is from RNAcentral.